CAGGUUGAACCACUUAUGAACGCAAACACUGCAGGUAGAGAGAGUGAACAUUGACAAGGAAUGUUGCUUAAGACGGCAGGAGGAAGUGACCUCAUAACCGGCCGCUGCAGGUCCAGCUUCCAGCUCCUGGAGGGGCAGCUCUCAGACUUUGGCCUGACCUUCUGCACCAGAGUCAAAGAAAGACAUUUCCUCGGGUGAGGAUUAAAACACACACACACACACACACACACACACACACAUGUGUGCCAUGGAAUCAAGGAGUGUCAUGACCCAGCUCCUAGGAGUCUCUACCAUCUCUUCAGCGGACAAGAGAUACCCAUAAUCUCCGCCUCUCUGAAGUUUUGGAAGGUUCUGUGUGAUGCUGUGUGCAGGGAAAAUAAAAAUGAUCAUGACA
Myotis daubentonii (Daubenton's bat) is the source of this 394-nucleotide long non-coding RNA. RefSeq lists it as uncharacterized. NCBI's taxonomy places the organism in Eukaryota, Metazoa, Chordata, Mammalia, Chiroptera, Vespertilionidae. The record is from RefSeq and is a predicted model, not a curated record. The transcript is spliced from 2 exons.